Molecule: ribosomal RNA, 460 nt
Filed under: uncultured bacterium
Lineage: Bacteria
Description: bacterial SSU rRNA
Rfam family: Bacterial small subunit ribosomal RNA
Source: RNAcentral
AAUGAACGCUGGCGGCGUGCCUAACACAUGCAAGUCGGAUGUGCCGCAAGGUGCAUGGCAGACGGGUGAGUAACGCGUAGGAAUCUACCCAGUAGCGGGGGAUAGCCCGGGGAAACUCGGAUUAAUACCGCAUACGCCCUAAGGGGGAAAGCAGGGGAUCGUAAGACCUUGCACUAUUGGAAGAGCCUGCGUUGGAUUAGCUAGUUGGUAGGGUAAAGGCCUACCAAGGCGACGAUCCAUAGCUGGUCUGAGAGGAUGAUCAGCCACACCGGAACUGAGACACGGUCCGGACUCCUACGGGAGGCAGCAGUGGGGAAUAUUGGACAAUGGGGGGCAACCCUGAUCCAGCCAUGCCGCGUGUGUGAAGAAGGCCUUCGGGUUGGUAAAGACACUUUAAGUGGGGACGGAUGAUGACGGUACCCGCAGAAGAAGCCCCGGCUAACUUCGUGCCAGCAGCCGC